Molecule: ribosomal RNA, 897 nt
Filed under: uncultured archaeon
Lineage: Archaea
Description: bacterial SSU rRNA
Rfam family: Archaeal small subunit ribosomal RNA
Source: RNAcentral
GCUACUGCUAUCGGGGUUCGAUUAAGCCAUGCGAGUUAAAUGUUCUUCGUGAACAUAGCGAACUGCUCAGUAACACGUGGAUAACCUACCCUUAGGACCGGAAUAACCCCGGGAAACUGGGGAUAAUACCGGAUAAGCCAUAGACGCUGGAAUGCCCUAUGGUUCAAAGCUCCGGCGCCUAAGGAUGGAUCUGCGGUCUAUCAGGUUGUAGUGGGUGUAACGUACCUACUAGCCGACGACGGAUACGGGUUGUGAGAGCAAGAGCCCGGAGAUGGAUUCUGAGACACGAAUCCAGGCCCUACGGGGUGCAGCAGGCGCGAACACUUUACAAUGCGGGAAACCGCGAUAAGGGAACCCCGAGUGCCAGCAUCAAAUGUUGGCUGUCCAGAUGAUUAAAAAUCAUUUGUUAGCAAGGGCCGGGCAAGACCGGUGCCAGCCGCCGCGGUAACACCGGCGGCCCGAGUGGUAGCCGUUUUUAUUGGGUCUAAAGGGUCCGUAGCCGGCUUGAUAAGUCCUUUGGGAAAUCUGGCAGCUUAACUGUCAGGCUUCUAAGGGAUACUGUCAGGCUUGGGACCGGAAGAGGUAAGGGGUACUCCAGGGGUAGGAGUGAAAUCUUGUAAUCCCUGGGGGACCAUCUGUGGCGAAGGCGCCUUACCAGAACGGGUCCGACGGUGAGGGACGAAAGCUAGGGGAGCAAACCGGAUUAGAUACCCGGGUAGUCCUAGCUGUAAACGAUGCUCGCUAGGUGUCAGACACGGUGCGACCGUGUUUGGUGCCGCAGGGAAGCCGUUAAGCGAGCCACCUGGGAAGUACGGUCGCAAGGCUGAAACUUAAAGGAAUUGGCGGGGGAGCACUACAACGGGUGGAGCCUGCGGUUUAAUUGGAGUCAACGCCGGA